GGCACAGGAAGUCUCAGAAAUAUACCAGGAUCAUGUAAUUAAUAAGCAAUAGAACCAGAAUUUAAACCUAGGCAGUCUAGUUCAACAUCCACACUCAUCCAUCACACCAUACUGCCUUUCAGAGCAAUAAUGUGCCAUUGAAGUGCUGCGAUGGAGAUGGGGUAGCAGAAUCAGAUUUGAAUUGUGAAAAGAUUGCUGUGGCUAUGGGUUCUUAUCACUCUAAUCACUGCUUGCACCAUCCUUGGGGAGGGCACUGGGGAGUUAACAGUCUCCAUCUGGUGGUGUGCUGGUGCUGGCUUGCAAAAACUAAUUGUGCACAUCUCUUCCCAACUCCCCAAUCAAUGAUGUCACAUCAAUAGGCUUAAAUCAGCUACGGUGAGAGCAUUUACACCAUGGAAAGGCACACACUACAAACCAGGGUCUGCUUUUCUCUGCCAAGCUGGCUGACAAACAGUUACCAGCACAUCACUAUCUCUGUCUCACCCCCGUAGCCUCUCGAAGUCUCCGUCCACAUCCCUCCAUUUCCAGCCUCCAUAUCUUGAAGGGUGAGACAGGAAGGUGAGGCCCCUGAGUCUAGGAGUACAAAGGCCUAGAUUAUAGCCCAGCUCUGCUAGGCAGAGGCGUCGUUCCUGGCCCAUUCUCUUCCACCCCAGGUCUGGAGGAGUGCGGGCACAUCAGUGUCUCAGCCCCCAUCGUCCACCUGGGGGAUCCCAUCACAGCCUCCUGCAUCAUCAAGCAGAACUGCAGCCAUCUGGACCCGGAGCCACAGAUUCUGUGGAGACUGGGAGCAGAGCUUCAGCCCGGGGGCAGGCAGCAGCGUCUGUCUGAUGGGACCCAGGAAUCUAUCAUCACCCUGCCCCACCUCAACUACACUCAGGCCUUUCUCUCCUGCUGCCUGAACUGGGGCAACAGCCUGCAGAUCCUGGACCAGGUUGAGCUGCGCGCAGGCUACCCUCCAGCCGUACCCCACAACCUCUCCUGCCUCAUGAACCUCACAACCAGCAGCCUUAUCUGCCAGUGGGAGCCAGGACCUGAGACCCACCUACCCACCAGCUUCACUCUGAAGAGCUUCAAGUGAGGAGGGGCCCCCACCCUGGUCCCCUCGCUUUGGAUUCUGGGGAGCCGGGGCAACUGUCAGACCCAAGGGGACUCCAUCCUGGACUGCGUGCCCAAGGACGGGCAGAGCCACUGCUCCAUUCCACGCAGACACCUGCUGUUGUACCAGAAUAUGGGCAUCUGGGUGCAGGCGGAGAACGCGCUGGGGACCAGCAUGUCCCCACAACUGUGUCUUGAUCCCAUGGACGUUGGUGGGUGAUGCAGGGGAGGGAGGGGGUCCCCAAAAUGGGCAGACACUGAGAGGAAUGGAGAGGGAAACACAGAACCAGCCACAGACAAGAAGACACUGGAAGACCUAGAGACAGAGGCACAGAAGAGGGACAGAGACAAAGAAAGGUGCAGCUGGACACAGAGAAAUGGGGACACAGACCCAGAGACAGGAAGAGACACAGAGGCAAAGAGACACAUUCAGUCAUGCUUUCAGCGCGUUUCCUGAAGCACCCACUACAUGUUAGGCACUGCUCUAGGUACUGGGGACAUAAAGCAUCAAAAAUCCUGCCCUCAGAAUGUUAGAUUCCAGUGGGGAGAAAAAUAAGAUAGAAUUUCAGAUAGCAAUAAGCAGAAAGGAGAAAUUAAAGGAGGAGAAGGGCAUAGAGAGACAGGGGGGAAGGGGAGCACUGGCUAUUUCAAUAUGUUGGUCAAGAAAGGCCUCACUAAGAGGGUGACAAUUGAGCAGAUCCUUGAAGGAAAUGAGGGAGCAAGCUGCUGGAUAUCUGGAGGGAAAACAUUUCAAGCAGAAGUAACAACCAGUGCAAAGGAACUGGGGCAAGAGUGGAAACAGAGACCUAGAGAGAAACAAAGACACAUAGAGACCGAACCACAGAAACGUGCCAUUGGCAACAUGGACAGAUGGUUAACCACAGACAGGGAGACAAGAGGGAGCUAAGGCAGAGCCCUCUAGAGUGGGAUAGGGAGACUUUCUGACAGCCCCACUCCUUGCAGUGAAACUGGAGCCCCCCAUGCUGCGCACCAUGGACCCCAGCCCUGAAGCGGCCCCUCCCCAGGCAGGCUGCCUACAGCUGUGCUGGGAGCCAUGGCAGCCAGGCCUGCACAUAAAUCAGAAGUGUGAGCUGCGCCACAAGCCGCAGCAUGGAGAAGCUAGCUGGGCACUGGUGGGCCCCCUGCCCUUGGAGGCCCUUCGAUAUGAGCUCUGCGGGCUCCUCCCAGCCACGGCCUACACCCUGCAGAUACGCUGCAUCCGCUGGCCCCUGCCUGGCCACUGGAGCGACUGGAGCCCCAGCCUGGAGCUGAGAACUACCGAACGGGCCCCCACUGUGAGACUGGACACAUGGUGGCGGCAGAGGCAGCUGGACCCCAGGACAGUGCAGCUGUUCUGGAAGGUGACUCCCUCUGAAGGCCAUCCCUCCACCUUGACACCUCCUCCAAUCCAAACAGAUCCCUACAAACCAGAGCUUAGGACUCCAACAGGUCUGGGAGGCGUGGAUGCAUAUUUAUAUGUGAUUUGCAUGCACUUUGCAUGCGCCUAGGGAGCGAGUUAGCUUUUGGAGAGACUAUAAUGCAGGUCACAGGGUGGUUCAGUGAAUAGUUAAGAGCCUGCUGUGUCCACUGACUUGUUUCUUCCUGCCCUCCUUCCUAGAACCUAGCACAAGGGAACGGAGGGAAAAGGGGAGGCGGGUGAGAAGCCUGGCCCCCAGCCUGGGGAGGCUCCGUUUGUAUGAUCCAUCCACCCCACCUAGAGGCUCUCCUCGACUCAAGAUGAGCUGCACAUCCCCUUCUCUUUUUCCUCCUGUGCCCCACAGCCAGUGCCCCUGGAGGAAGACAGCGGACAGAUCCAAGGUUAUGUGGUUUCUUGGAGACCCUCAGGCCAGGCUGGGGCCAUCCUGCCCCUCUGCAACACCACAGAGCUCAGCUGCACCUUCCACCUGCCUUCAGAAGCCCAGGAGGUGGCCCUUGUGGCCUAUAACUCAGCCGGGACCUCUCGUCCCACCCCGGUGGUCUUCUCAGAAAGCAGAGGCCCAGCCCUGACCAGACUCCAUGCCAUGGCCCGAGACCCUCACAGCCUCUGGGUAGGCUGGGAGCCCCCCAGUCCAUGGCCUCAGGGCUAUGUGAUUGAGUGGGGCCUGGGCCCCCCCAGCGCGAGCAAUAGCAACAAGACCUGGAGGAUGGAACAGAAUGGGAGCGCCACGGGGUUUCUGCUGAAGGAGAACAUCAGGCCCUUUCAGCUCUAUGAGAUCACUGUGACUCCUUUGUACCAGGACACCAUGGGACCCUCCCAGCAUGUCUAUGCCUACUCCCAAGAAAUGGGUUUGUCAACCAUCAGGCCCCUUUCCAGAAUCCUCUCCUCUCUCUCCCAAGGCUCUGCCUGGUCCCCAUCAAUCAGGAGUAUAGGGAACAUUGCCUUCCUACCAUACUUCCGGCCCUGGAGAGGAUCUCUCCCAAUCCCCUGGCUUACACUGGAUCCCUACAGCUGGACAGAAAUCAGGUGCUGGGAUAGAAAUUGAGUAGGGAGUUGGCACAAUUCAAGGAGCAAACCUGGCAAAAAUCAAUCAAUUUCCCAGACAAAAAUAAGGUGUUAUAUGUGACAGAAAUUGGACAGAGGGGCCGGGUGCAGUGGCUCACACCUGUAAUCCUAACACUCUGGGAGGCCGGAGCAGGCAGAUCCCCUGAGCUCAAGAGUUUGAGACCAGCCUCGGCAAUCUUGUCUCUACAGAAAAAUAAAUAAAUAAAUAAACCAACCAACCAAAAAUUAGCUGGGUGCAGCGACAUGUGCCUGUAACCCCAGCUACUUGAGAGGCUGAGGUGGGAGGACUGGAGGGCUUGAGCCCAGGAGGUCGAGGCUGUAGUGAGCCAAGAUGGUGCCACUGCACUCCAGCCUGGGUGACAGAGCGAGACCCUGUCUCAAAAACAAAAACAAAAGAAAUUAGACAGAGGACCUGGCAUAAAUUCGAAGAGUGAGUGGCAGAAAUCAGAGAGUAAAUCAGAUGAAAUCAGGCCUGGUAGAAAUCAGAAAGUGAGGCUUUAGAGUCAAGCAGAGCCAGGUUCAAAUCCUGGCUCAGACACUUAUUAGCAGUAGAUGGAAUCUAGAUUAAGUCCCUGGGAAAAAUGAGGGUUGGGCAUGAGUCCCCUUGGACUCUUUUCUCACCCACCCCACAGUGUCUGGGAAGCCACAAGAAGUCCAAUCGGGCUCUUGCUCUGCCCCACUCCCUUCAGCCCCCGCACCUCUCUCUUCCCAUAGCUCCCUCCCAUGCCCCAGAGCUGCAUCUAAAGCACAUUGGCAAGACCUGGGUACAGCUGGAGUGGGUGCCUGAGCCCCCUGAGCUGGGGAAGAGCCCCCUUACCCACUACACCAUCUUCUGGACCAACGUUCAGAACCAGUCCUUCUGUGAGUCUAUCCUCAGUUCCCCCACAGCCCCAGAAGGCCUGGGAGGGGGUGCUCAGCUGCCACGGAGGCAGCUUUAGCAUCCAGGCCUACGCUGACCGUACACCCCUCCCAGCCGCCAUCCUGAAUGCCUCCUCCCGUGGCUUUGUCCUCCAUGGCCUGGAGCCCGCCAGUCUGUAUCACAUCCACCUCAUGGCUGCCAGCCAGGCCGGGGCCACCAACAGUACAGUCCUCACCCUGAUGACCUUGACUCCAGAGGGGUCGGAGCUACACAUCCUCCUGGGCCUGUUCGGCCUCCUGCUCUUGCUCACCUGCCUCUGUGGAACUGCCUGGCUCUGCUGCAGCCCCAACAGGAAGAAUCCCCUCUGGCCAAGUGUCCCAGACCCAGCUCACAGCAGCCUGGGGUCCUGGGUGCCCACAAUCAUGGAGGAGGUGAGAAUCCAGGAGGGAGAGGGAAAUGAGAUGGGGAUGUCGGCCCAGGCUCAGUGAAGGGACACCUUCUGAAGCCAAGUACUCAGGCCUUCCUGUCACGUCCGGCAACAUCCCAUCCCUUUGGAGUGAAGCAGACCCAACUUUGAAUCCCACCUCUGUCCAUCUCAAAGCCUCAGUCACCUCCCUGUGAUACGGAAAAACUGACCAUGCUGAGUCUGAACGGCGCAUGGCAUGUGUCAGGCAUGUGCGAGGAACAUACUAGUGCUUUGCAAGUGGAACCCUUUGUGUUCCACCAGUAACAACAGGAAUGUCCCCACAACUGCCUGGACCCAGACAGGGAUGGUGGCUGGGGCAGACAUCUGAAAAGAGCCGUGCUCUCACCCCACAUCCUUGUGUGCAGGAUGCCUUCCAGCUGCCCGGCCUUGGCACGCCACCCAUCACCAAGCUCACAGUGCUGGAGGAGGACAAGAAGAAGCCGGUGCCCUGGGAAUCCCAUAACAGCUCAGAGACCUGUGGCCUCCCCACUCUGGUCCAAACCUAUGUGCUCCAGGGGGACCCAAGAGCAGCUUCCACCCAGCCCCAAUCCCAGUCUGGCACCAGCGAUCAGGUCCUUUAUGGGCAGCUGCUGGGCAGCCCCACAAGCCCAGGGCCAGGGCACUAUCUCCGCUGUGACUCCACUCAGCCCCUCUUGGCGGGCCUCACCCCCAGCCCCAAGUCCUAUGAGAACCUCUGGUUCCAGGCCAGCCCCCUGGGGACCCUGGUAACCCCAGCCCCAAGCCAGGAGGACGACUGUGUCUUUGGGCCACUGCUCGACUUCCCCCUCCUGCAGGGGAUCCGGGUGCAUGGGAUGGAGGGGCUGGGGAGCUUCUAGGGCUUCCUGGGGUUCCCUUCUUGGGCCUGCCUCUUAAAGGCCUGAGCUAGCUGGAGGAGAGGGGAGGAUCCAUAAGCCCAUGACUAAAAACUACCCCAGUCCAGGCUCUCACCAUCUCCAGUCACCAGCAUCCCCCUCUCCUCCCAAUCUCCAUAGGCUGGGCCUCCCAGGCGAUCUGCAUACUUUAAGGACCAGAUCAUGCUCCAGCCAGCCCCCCUGCCUUUUGUGCUUGUUUCCUUAACUUCAGUAUUGUAAACUAGUUUUUGGUUUGGAGUUUUGUUGUUUAUAGACACUCUUGGGUGU
RNAcentral lists this small RNA (6062 nucleotides) under Pongo abelii (Sumatran orangutan). Its description in RNAcentral is "retained intron". The record is from RNAcentral. Lineage: Eukaryota; Metazoa; Chordata; Mammalia; Primates; Hominidae.